This 329-nucleotide unclassified non-coding RNA is filed under the name soil metagenome. RNAcentral's name for it is "partial contains 5.8S ribosomal RNA, internal transcribed spacer 2, and large subunit ribosomal RNA". The stretch from base 1 to 120 matches the Rfam family "5.8S ribosomal RNA", at positions 35 to 154 of the family's 154-position model. The record is from RNAcentral.
GAUGAAGAACGUAGUGAAAUGCGAUAAGUAAUGUGAAUUGCAGAAUUCAGUGAAUCAUCGAAUCUUUGAACGCACAUUGCGCCCCUUGGUAUUCCGAGGGGCAUGCCUGUUCGAGCGUCAUUAUAACCACUCAAGCUCAGCUUGGUGUUGGGGCCUGCUGCACUGGCAGCCCUUAAAAUCAGUGGCGGCGCCAUCUGGCUCUAAGCGUAGUAAUUCUUCUCGCUAUGGAGUCCUGGUGGAUGCUUGCCAUCAACCCCCAAUUUUUCUAUGGUUGACCUCGGAUCAGGUAGGGAUACCCGCUGAACUUAAGCAUAUCAAUAAGCGGAGGA